GGGAAACCGAGUCUUAACCGGGCGUUAAGUUGCAGGGUAUAGACCCGAAACCCGGUGAUCUAGCCAUGGGCAGGUUGAAGGUUGGGUAACACUAACUGGAGGACCGAACCGACUAAUGUUGAAAAAUUAGCGGAUGACCUGUGGCUGGGGGUGAAAGGCCAAUCAAACCGGGAGAUAGCUGGUUCUCCCCGAAAGCUAUUUAGGUAGCGCCUCGUGAAUUCAUCUCCGGGGGUAGAGCACUGUUUCGGCUAGGGGGCCAUCCCGGCUUACCAACCCGAUGCAAACUGCGAAUACCGGAGAAUGUUAUCACGGGAGACACACGGCGGGUGCUAACGUCCGUCGUGAAGAGGGAAACAACCCAGACCGCCAGCUAAGGUCCCAAAGUCAUGGUUAAGUGGGAAACGAUGUGGGAAGGCCCAGACAGCCAGGAUGUUGGCUUAGAAGCAGCCAUCAUUUAAAGAAAGCGUAAUAGCUCACUGGUCGAGUCGGCCUGCGCGGAAGAUGUAACGGGGCUAAACCAUGCACCGAAGCUGCGGCAGCGACACUCAGGUGUUGUUGGGUAGGGGAGCGUUCUGUAAGCCUGCGAAGGUGGCCUGUGAGGGUUGCUGGAGGUAUCAGAAGUGCGAAUGCUGACAUAAGUAACGAUAAAGCGGGUGAAAAGCCCGCUCGCCGGAAGACCAAGGGUUCCUGUCCAACGUUAAUCGGGGCAGGGUGAGUCGACCCCUAAGGCGAGGCCGAAAGGCGUAGUCGAUGGGAAACGGGUUAAUAUUCCCGUACUUGGUGUUACUGCGAAGGGGGGACGGAGAAGGCUAUGUUGGCCGGGCGACGGUUGUCCCGGUUUAAGCGUGUAGGUGUGUGUUCCAGGUAAAUCCGGUUCACUUUAACACUGAGGCGUGAUGACGAGGCACUACGGUGCUGAAGCAACAAAUGCCCUGCUUCCAGGAAAAGCCUCUAAGCAUCAGGUAACAUCAAAUCGUACCCCAAACCGACACAGGUGGUCAGGUAGAGAAUACCAAGGCGCUUGAGAGAACUCGGGUGAAGGAACUAGGCAAAAUGGUGCCGUAACUUCGGGAGAAGGCACGCUGACACGUAGGUGAAGUGAUUUACUCAUGGAGCUGAAGUCAGUCGAAGAUACCAGCUGGCUGCAACUGUUUAUUAAAAACACAGCACUGUGCAAACACGAAAGUGGACGUAUACGGUGUGACGCCUGCCCGGUGCCGGAAGGUUAAUUGAUGGGGUCAGCGCAAGCGAAGCUCCUGAUCGAAGCCCCGGUAAACGGCGGCCGUAACUAUAACGGUCCUAAGGUAGCGAAAUUCCUUGUCGGGUAAGUUCCGACCUGCACGAAUGGCGUAAUGAUGGCCAGGCUGUCUCCACCCGAGACUCAGUGAAAUUGAACUCGCUGUGAAGAUGCAGUGUACCCGCGGCAAGACGGAAAGACCCCGUGAACCUUUACUAUAGCUUGACACUGAACAUUGAGCCUUGAUGUGUAGGAUAGGUGGGAGGCUUUGAAGUGUGGACGCCAGUCUGCAUGGAGCCGACCUUGAAAUACCACCCUUUAAUGUUUGAUGUUCUAACGUGGACCCGUAAUCCGGGUUGCGGACAGUGUCUGGUGGGUAGUUUGACUGGGGCGGUCUCCUCCUAAAGAGUAACGGAGGAGCACGAAGGUUGGCUAAUCCUGGUCGGACAUCAGGAGGUUAGUGCAAUGGCAUAAGCCAGCUUGACUGCGAGCGUGACGGCGCGAGCAGGUGCGAAAGCAGGUCAUAGUGAUCCGGUGGUUCUGAAUGGAAGGGCCAUCGCUCAACGGAUAAAAGGUACUCCGGGGAUAACAGGCUGAUACCGCCCAAGAGUUCAUAUCGACGGCGGUGUUUGGCACCUCGAUGUCGGCUCAUCACAUCCUGGGGCUGAAGUAGGUCCCAAGGGUAUGGCUGUUCGCCAUUUAAAGUGGUACGCGAGCUGGGUUUAGAACGUCGUGAGACAGUUCGGUCCCUAUCUGCCGUGGGCGCUGGAGAACUGAGGGGGGCUGCUCCUAGUACGAGAGGACCGGAGUGGACGCAUCACUGGUGUUCGGGUUGUCAUGCCAAUGGCACUGCCCGGUAGCUAAAUGCGGAAGAGAUAAGUGCUGAAAGCAUCUAAGCACGAAACUUGCCCCGAGAUGAGUUCU
This 2161-nucleotide ribosomal RNA is filed under the name Salmonella enterica subsp. enterica serovar Mississippi. RNAcentral describes it as "bacterial LSU rRNA". It matches the Rfam family "Bacterial large subunit ribosomal RNA", at positions 671 to 2812 of the family's 2925-position model. Lineage: Bacteria; Pseudomonadati; Pseudomonadota; Gammaproteobacteria; Enterobacterales; Enterobacteriaceae. The record is from RNAcentral.